This 585-nucleotide ribosomal RNA is filed under the name Escherichia sp. Its description in RNAcentral is "bacterial SSU rRNA". It matches the Rfam family "Bacterial small subunit ribosomal RNA", at positions 164 to 744 of the family's 1533-position model. Lineage: Bacteria; Pseudomonadati; Pseudomonadota; Gammaproteobacteria; Enterobacterales; Enterobacteriaceae. The record is from RNAcentral.
UAAUACCGCAUAACGUCGCAAGACCAAAGAGGGGGACCUUCGGGCCUCUUGCCAUCGGAUGUGCCCAGAUGGGAUUAGCUAGUAGGUGGGGUAACGGCUCACCUAGGCGACGAUCCCUAGCUGGUCUGAGAGGAUGACCAGCCACACUGGAACUGAGACACGGUCCAGACUCCUACGGGAGGCAGCAGUGGGGAAUAUUGCACAAUGGGCGCAAGCCUGAUGCAGCCAUGCCGCGUGUAUGAAGAAGGCCUUCGGGUUGUAAAGUACUUUCAGCGGGGAGGAAGGGAGUAAAGUUAAUACCUUUGCUCAUUGACGUUACCCGCAGAAGAAGCACCGGCUAACUCCGUGCCAGCAGCCGCGGUAAUACGGAGGGUGCAAGCGUUAAUCGGAAUUACUGGGCGUAAAGCGCACGCAGGCGGUUUGUUAAGUCAGAUGUGAAAUCCCCGGGCUCAACCUGGGAACUGCAUCUGAUACUGGCAAGCUUGAGUCUCGUAGAGGGGGGUAGAAUUCCAGGUGUAGCGGUGAAAUGCGUAGAGAUCUGGAGGAAUACCGGUGGCGAAGGCGGCCCCCUGGACGAAGACUGAC